UGAGGAAUAUUGGUCAAUGGCCGGAAGGCUGAACCAGCCAAGCCGCGUGAAGGACGAAGGUGCCAAGCAUUGUAAACUUCUUUUGUCAAGGGACAAAAUCAGGCUCGAGAGCCUGACCGAGGGUACUUGAAAGAAAAAGCAUCGGCUAACUCCGUGCC
RNAcentral lists this ribosomal RNA (158 nucleotides) under uncultured bacterium. RNAcentral's name for it is "partial 16S ribosomal RNA". It matches the Rfam family "Bacterial small subunit ribosomal RNA", at positions 355 to 509 of the family's 1533-position model. The record is from RNAcentral.